RNAcentral lists this ribosomal RNA (487 nucleotides) under uncultured bacterium. RNAcentral's name for it is "bacterial SSU rRNA". It matches the Rfam family "Bacterial small subunit ribosomal RNA", at positions 30 to 511 of the family's 1533-position model. The record is from RNAcentral.
AUUGAACGCUGGCGGCAUGCUUUACACAUGCAAGUCGAACGGCAGCACGGGGGCAACCCUGGUGGCGAGUGGCGAACGGGUGAGUAAUGCAUCGGAACGUAUCUUUAAGUGGGGGAUAACGCAUCGAAAGAUGCGCUAAUACCGCAUAAUCUCUGAGGAGAAAAGCAGGGGAUCGCAAGACCUUGCGCUUUUGGAGCGGCCGAUGUCUGAUUAGCAGUUGGUGAGGUAAAGGCUUACCAAGGCUUCGAUCAGUAGCUGGUCUGAGAGGACGACCAGCCACACUGGGACUGAGACACGGCCCAGACUCCUACGGGAGGCAGCAGUCGGGAAUCUUGCACAAUGGGCGAAAGCCUGAUGCAGCAACACCGUGUGAGCGAUGAAGGCCCUAGGGUCGUAAAGCUCUGUUUGUUGGGGGACGAAGGGCGAAGGGUUAAUAGCCCUAGCUUGACGGUACCCUUCGAGGAAGCUCCGGCUAACUACGUGCCAG